GGCGGACGGGUGAGUAACGCGUAAGGAACUUGCCUCUUGGACUGGGACAACUGUUGGAAACGACAGCUAAUACCGGAUAUUAUGAGAUUCUCGCAUGAGAAACUUAUGAAAGCUAUAUGCGCCAAGAGAGAGCCUUGCGUUCCAUUAGCUAGUUGGUGGGGUAACGGCCCACCAAGGCGACGAUGGAUAGCCGGCCUGAGAGGGUGAACGGCCACAAGGGGACUGAGACACGGCCCUUACUCCUACGGGAGGCAGCAGUGGGGAAUAUUGGACAAUGGGCCACAAGCCUGAUCCAGCAAUUCUGUGUGCACGAUGAAGGUCUUCGGAUUGUAAAGUGCUUUCAGUUGGGAAGAAGAAAGUGACGGUACCAACAGAAGAAGCGACGGCUAAAUACGUGCCAGCAGCCGCGGUAAUACGUAUGUCGCAAGCGUUAUCCGGAUUUAUUGGGCGUAAAGCGCGUCUAGGCGGAAAAAUAAGUCUGAUGUUAAAAUGCGGGGCUCAACUCCGUAUUGCGUUGGAAACUGUUUUUCUAGAGUACUGGAGAGGUGGGCGGAACUACAAGUGUAGAGGUGAAAUUCGUAGAUAUUUGUAGGA
Molecule: ribosomal RNA, 594 nt
Filed under: uncultured bacterium
Lineage: Bacteria
Description: bacterial SSU rRNA
Rfam family: Bacterial small subunit ribosomal RNA
Source: RNAcentral